GCCGCAGUAGCUCAGUGGUAGAGCGUCUCCUUGGUAAGGAGAAGGGCGCGAGUCCGAUUCUCGCUUGCGGCUCCA
This 75-nucleotide transfer RNA is filed under the name Candidatus Thiomargarita nelsonii. RNAcentral describes it as "tRNA-Thr". It matches the Rfam family "tRNA". Rfam says of the family: Transfer RNA (tRNA) molecules are approximately 80 nucleotides in length. RNAcentral also lists the same sequence under 1 other name. Lineage: Bacteria; Pseudomonadati; Pseudomonadota; Gammaproteobacteria; Thiotrichales; Thiotrichaceae. The record is from RNAcentral.